ACAAAACAAAAAACCCAGCCCUACAUCUAAGCAGUGAGUUCUAGGCUUUUUCAUUCUCCUAUACUCUGUACGCAUUCUCUCCGCCGCCGUGUCUAUUUCUCUCUGAUCCAAGGUGCAUGCUACUCUACUCAUCCUUCUUUGUCAGGUAUUCGAUUUGAAGUUUUUCUCAAAUUAAUCUGAUGGUAUUAGUGAUUUCUCGCUGAUUACACACCCGUUGAAAGUGUAUUGAUCCGAUUUGUCAUUUCCACCAGUGGUAUUGUAUAUGGAUGCUAAAACAAGUGACUGAAUUGAUUUCUGCUGCUCUCUUCCACUCUUUUUCUUUUGAAUAUUGUUGGGUUUUGAGUCAUCAUUGUUGUCUAUGCUGCUAGAUGAUGAUGUUGAUAUUGCGCAAGGGCUUUGAGUUCCAUUUAAUGGAAAAUAUGAAAUAAUUCCUAUUAUCAAUCCGUUCUGAUGGCAGCAUUUGAUUGGAAUUGUUUGAUUUAUUCAAUCCUUUCAACAGAUUGACCUAUUUUUCUGAAUUUAGUGA
Molecule: unclassified non-coding RNA, 526 nt
Filed under: Hevea brasiliensis (rubber tree)
Lineage: Eukaryota; Viridiplantae; Streptophyta; Magnoliopsida; Malpighiales; Euphorbiaceae
Source: RNAcentral